UACGUAGAUGGCAAGCGUUAUCCGGAAUUAUUGGGCGUAAAGAGGGAGCAGGCGGUUUGAUAAGUCUUUGGUUUAAUCUUGUGGCUUAACCACAAUUCGCUAAAGAAACUGUCUUACUAGAGUCAAGGAGAGGUUAGUGGAACUCCAAGUGUAGCGGUGGAAUGCGUAGAUAUUUGGAAGAACACCAGUGGCGAAGGCGGCUAACUGGCCUUGUACUGACGCUCAGUCCCGAAAGCGUGGGGAGC
RNAcentral lists this ribosomal RNA (245 nucleotides) under uncultured Bacillota bacterium. RNAcentral's name for it is "uncultured Firmicutes bacterium partial 16S ribosomal RNA". It matches the Rfam family "Bacterial small subunit ribosomal RNA", at positions 524 to 769 of the family's 1533-position model. The record is from RNAcentral. Lineage: Bacteria; Bacillati; Bacillota.